UUCUGGUUGAUCCUGCCGGAGGCUACCGCUAUUGGAGUUCGAUUAAGCCAUGCGAGUCGAGAGUCUUAGGGACUCGGCGUACCGCUCAGUAACACGUGGGUAACCUGCCCUAUGCUGGGGAAUAACCUCGGGAAACUGAGAAUAAUACCCCAUAGUUCACCACGCCUGGAACGGUGGGUGGAUGAAAGCUCCGGCGGCAUAGGAUGGGCCUGCGACGUAUCAGGUUGUAGGGGGUGUAACGUACCCUCUAGCCAUCAACGCGUACGGGUGUUGGGAGACAUAGCCCGGAGAUGGAUUCUGAGACACGAAUCCAGACCCUACGGGGUGCAGCAGGCGCGAAAACUUGGCAAUGCGAGCAAUCGUGACCAGGGAACUCCAAGUGGCUGGGGUAAUACCCAGUUUUUUCUUGACUCUUCAAAGGUCUUGGAAUAAGGGGUGGGUAAGGACGGUGCCAGCCGCCGCGGUAAUACCGGCGCCUCAAGUGGUAGUCGCUUUUAUUGGGCCUAAAACGUCCGUAGCCGGUCUGGUGCAUUCGUGGGUAAAUCAACCCGCUCAACGGGUUGAAUUCUGCGAGCACGGCCAGACUUGGGACCGGGAGAGGUGUGGGGUACUCUCAGGGUAGGGGUAAAAUCCUGUCAUCCUGAGAGGACCACCUGUUGCGAAGGCGCCACACUAGAACGGAUUCGACGGUCAGGGACGAAACCUAGGGGCACGAACCGGAUUAGAUACCCGGGUAGUCCUAGGUGUAAACGCUGUGGACUUGAUGUUGGGGGUGCUCCGAGCACUCUCAGUGUCGAAGCGAAGGUGAUAAGUCCACUGCCUGGGGAGUACGGUCGCAAGGCUGAAACUUAAAGGAAUUGGCGGGGGAGCACUGCAACCUGAGGAUUGUGCGGUUUAAUUGGAUUCAA
RNAcentral lists this ribosomal RNA (908 nucleotides) under uncultured Candidatus Poseidoniales archaeon. RNAcentral's name for it is "bacterial SSU rRNA". It matches the Rfam family "Archaeal small subunit ribosomal RNA", at positions 1 to 915 of the family's 1478-position model. The record is from RNAcentral. Lineage: Archaea; Methanobacteriati; Thermoplasmatota; Candidatus Poseidoniia; Candidatus Poseidoniales.